This 405-nucleotide ribosomal RNA is filed under the name uncultured bacterium. Its description in RNAcentral is "bacterial SSU rRNA". It matches the Rfam family "Bacterial small subunit ribosomal RNA", at positions 28 to 416 of the family's 1533-position model. The record is from RNAcentral.
GACGAACGCUGGCGGCGUGCUUAACACAUGCAAGUCGAGCGGGAAAGUUCCCUUCGGGGAGCGAGUACAGCGGCGAACGGGUGAGUAACACGUAGGCAACCUACCCCGGAGACCGGGAUAACCUGUCGAAAGGCGGGCUAAUACCGGAUAAGACCACGAGGGCCUCGGCCCUUGAGGUAAAAGGUGGCCUCUGCUUGCAAGCUAUCACUCCAGGAUGGGCCUGCGCGCCAUUAGCUAGUUGGUGAGGUAACGGCUCACCAAGGCGAAGAUGGCUAGCUGGUCUGAGAGGAUGGCCAGCCACACUGGGACUGAGAUACGGCCCAGACUCCUACGGGAGGCAGCAGUGGGAAUCUUGCGCAAUGGGCGAAAGCCUGACGCAGCGACGCCGCGUGGGUGAUGAAGGCC